GCGUGUGUGCCGUGUCGUGUUUGUCAUCCUUCCAGAGAGCUGCGUCUACCAUUCACUUGGCCGGACGUACGCGAUCUGGAUCGAUUACUUUGAAAAAAUUAGAGUGUUUAAAGCAGGCUUACGCUGUGAAUACAUUAGCAUGGAAUAAUAAUUUAGGACUUCGGUUCUAUUUUGUUGGUUUCUAGGACUGAAGUAAUGAUUGAUAGGGACAGUUGGGGGUGCUAGUAUUCCGCGGCCAGAGGUGAAAUUCUUGGAUUCGCGGAAGACUAACUACUGCGAAAGCAUUCACCAAGGAUGUCUUCUUUAAUCAAGAACGAAAGUUGGGGGAUCGAAGACGAUCAGAUACCGUCGUAGUCUCAACCAUAAACUAUACCGACUAAGGAUCAGUGAACGUUGAUUUACGACUUCAUUGGCACUUUGUGAGAAAUCAAAGUCUUUGGGUUCCGGGGGGAGUAUGGUCGCAAGGCUGAAACUUAAAGGAAUUGACGGAAGGACACCACCAGGAGUGGAACCUGCGGCUUAAUUUGACUCAACACGGGAAAACUUACCAGGUCCAGACACAGGAAGGAUUGACAGAUUGAAGCUCUUUCUUGAUUCUGUGGGGAGUGGUGCAUGGCCGUUCUUAGUUGGUGGAUUGAUCUGUCUGGUUUAUUCCGAUAACGAACGAGACCUUAGUCUGCUAAAUAGUGUUGCGAACCACCUAACGGGUGAAUCCAGGGAGGUACUGGGGCUU
RNAcentral lists this ribosomal RNA (733 nucleotides) under uncultured eukaryote. RNAcentral describes it as "bacterial SSU rRNA". It matches the Rfam family "Eukaryotic small subunit ribosomal RNA", at positions 668 to 1404 of the family's 1831-position model. The record is from RNAcentral.